Molecule: long non-coding RNA, 4134 nt
Organism: Chenopodium quinoa (quinoa)
Lineage: Eukaryota; Viridiplantae; Streptophyta; Magnoliopsida; Caryophyllales; Amaranthaceae
Exons: 3
Source: RefSeq, a predicted model, not a curated record
UGUUUGCAGUCUUUGCACUUUGCAUAAGUUGAAUUUUUUGCACGGCCUAUACCUAACCUAAAAUAUUAUAAAACAAUGUAUGUAAAGGAAACAUAGAACAUAAUUCAAAUAAAGUCAAAAUGAAGAUCAUAUUUGUUUAGCCAACACUUGUGUUAAAUAGAUUUUAAUCAAUAAAAAAGUAAUUUAACCUUAAUUCAGUUAAACAGGUUAGUCAAUAAAAUAAGUUUUAUUAGUAUAAAAUAUUAACCAUUGAUUUAAUACAAAAAGGUUUAAUUUUAAUCCAUAAAAAUAAUUAAAGUAAUGCUUAAGGUCACUAAAAGUUAAUGCUAUGAUCAAAUAUAAUAAUAAGAGCAUCCACAAUAGUUGCAUAAAAGGACCUGCUUGCAUUUUCUAAGAGCACUCAAAUCAGUGAGCAAAAAAAAAAAUUUGCUUAUUCUCUCUCUAGCCACUUUCUCUCUCUUCCCACCUUAAUUUGUUUAUGAACAUAUUUUAUUCCACUAGUGAUAAAAAAAAAUGCUCAUCAUUCUCUCUCCUACUUUUUUACAUACCCCACCAACAUUUCUUUCUCUUACACAUCACCAUAUUAUUAUUAAUUAUGUUUUGGUUAAUGAAUUUUUAGUGCUACUAAUUAUAAUUAAUGACGUCAGUUUUGAUGAUGAGUAGGGCCCACGCUUUUACUGUUCAUUGUUAAUUUUGCUCAUCCUAUGAGCAUUUUCUAAGUUGCUCAUGACUCAUGAGCAUUUUCCACUUUGCUCAUUGAUAUAGUAACAUUUUACCCAUUUUUGCUCAUCAAUUUUGCUCAUGAGUAAAAAAAAUGCUCACUGAUGUGAGUGCUUUAAAUAAUGUAGAGCCACAUGCUACUGAUGCUAGCCACUGUGGAGCUACAUAGGUUGUAGUUAAGUCAAAGCUAUGUAGUUUCACUCCACCCAACACACAUAUAUUAAUUUGUUUAAUAUUUUUUAUUUAUUUGUUUAUUUGUUUGUUUGUUUAUUUGUUUAUUAUUUUAUUUUUUUAUGAUUUAUUUAUUACAAAAGGAUGUAGUUUAUUAUUGUAGAGGUUGUAGCUUUAAUCAUGUAGCUUAAGGAUUAAUAAUGUGGCAACCCAAAGCUACAUGUACAUAAAGCUCACCAUUGAGGAUGCUCUAAGUCUAAGGUAUCAAUUAAAAUAAGUUUUAAUACGUAAAAAUAAUUUCAAUACUUUUUAAUUCAUUAUAAGUAAUUUUAGCUCAACAAAAAUUAGGUGAAUACAACAUGAGUUUAGUCAAUUGAAUAGAUAAUCCCAAUUAAAUACUUGACAAGAAAGCUAUAAAUUAAAGAGUACAAUGCCUACAAAAAUACAAGUAGUUGUUUAAAGGUAUUUUUAGAGGGUCACAUCUUUUUAUUUGAAGCUUUGUUUAGGACAAGUAAUAUCUCUUUAUAAUUCACAUUGAGUUAUGUUAUGAGUCAAUAGGUGCUGCAUUGUAUGGAAUUUCAUAGAAUUCAAUGGUGUCAAUUUUGCUUAGUUCAUACAUUGUUUAUUCAAAGACAAAUCGAUCAUGUGUUCCAUACCAAAGAGUUUGAACCAAUUAAUCUAUGUAUUAACAUUAAAACCCACAAUAUGGAUUCAACCAGUAAUUAAUUGGUAAAAUUUGCAAAGACAAGUCUGUCUUAUUCAAUGUUAGGUGUGGUGUAAGUAGACACAUUGCCAAGCGUGGGUUUGCCUUCAUCAUGAUCUUUCAAUAACAAAUUAUCCAAAUUCUACCUUGGGUUUGUUGGUUUGAACUUGCACAAAAAUGUUUGGGUUAUUCAAGAUAUCUUGAACCAUUAAAAGUAGAACUCUAAUUAAUAAUUAAGAAUUUUCCUUACCAUUCAACAACUUAAUAACAAGUAUUAAACCAUUUUCGCUUUCAAAGUUAUGAGAAAAGCACAUUUCACACGUAUUAAUUAGGUUUAACGUCUUUGUUAGGUAUUUAAUCGCGUAAUUUAGUUCAUAUUAAGUAAUAAUUAGCCUUCCUAUUCCUAAUAUGCAUGUAACCUAAACGCAACUAUGUGUGCAUGCAUGCUACCCUAUCCUAAUCUAAAUCAAUCACAUCCUCAUAUAUUAUUGGACUAACCUCUAAUUAAAACACGUUGAGUCAGUUCAACCCGUUUAUUAUUUUCAUUAAAUUCUAUAACCUUUAAAUUGAUCUUUCCUUUCCAUUGAUUGACAAAGCAAACAAUUUGUACUAUUUGCACUUGCAUAAACUUUGCAUAAUACAAGACAUACAUUAGAAUACUUGGGCCACACUCUUAACAACUAUUUUUUGGAAUUUUUGUGCCUUUUUGAUGAUAAACUAGCAAGAUAAAUGGUUGGACAUGUUUAGCCUUAUGAUAUGUUACAACUCACUAGUUUUAAGAUAUUUACCUAAUUUUACCACCCCAAAUUCUGUAGAAUUGUUGAAGCUUCUACUUGUUUAUGUCAAUAGUCUAAGGUUUGUAGCUAGCUAGGUUUUAUGUAAAAGUGAGAAAAAUAACAUCCUUCUAUGGUUUGGAAUAAUGAGUAAAUUACUUGCUCAACUAGGGAAUUGAAGUCAUACUAUUCUUUGCAAACAAAUCUACUGUGAGGUAUAUGACCUUUUUCAUAUAUAUAUUGGUGGAGUAAUGAGUAUAUAAUGGUAGGUUGAAGUAAUCUAGCAUAUAAUGGUAGGUUGAAGUAAUCUAGCAUAAACAACUAAUGCUUAGAUGUUUUUUUAUCUUAGGGGAUGGGAGAAAUACUCCUUGUACUGUGAAUUUAUAGUUGAAUCCACUUAUUCUGAUGGGUUAACAUAAUUUUUGUAAUUUAAUGAAGUUUGACGAAGUGUGCAUGGUGCUCCCUUUCGAUGAUUUAUUUCUUUUAGAAUAUACGAGUACAACUACAAGAAUAUAUAUUUUUGUCAAAAUAAAGUCUCGCCACAUAUAACUAAAAUGAAAUUGUAUCCUAAAAUCAAUGACAUAUACGAAGUAUGGCUUUAGAUGUUGAGGUCCUCUAGACUUAAAUGUUAGUUAUUAGUUAAUGUUCCUCUUCAUCAAUCUGGGACACUUUAUAUACAAACAGUGGCGGACUUGGGCUUAGACCUGGUGGGUCAAGUGACUCACCAGGCCCAAAUUUAAGUUAUUAAAAAAAAAAAAAAAAAAAAAAACUAAAAUCAGUUUUCCCAAAUGACCAAAUCACGAAUUGAUUUCAAGCCCUAGCCUUCUUCAGUUCUUCUCUUCGCCAAUUCGCCUCUUCCCUUUAAUCCUUCAUCAAUCAUCUCCAACUCCAAUUCGCCUCUUCGCUAGUUCGCUUCGUCUUCCUCUUCGCAUAAUUUCAGUGCUCUUCGCGACUUCGCUAGCUUGCUCACGCCUCCAGUGCUGGCUGUGCUGCUGGCCUGCUGGCUGCUGCUCGCCUGCUGCCCUGCUCCACUGCUCUGUGCUCUGUCCUCUGUGCUCACCGCUCUUCGCUUCGUCGCUUCUUCUAAAGUCUAAUCUCCUAUUUUCAUUUUGCUAAAUGAAGAGAAAACGCACUCCAAAUGAAAUGCAAAACAUUACUAGCUUCUUUGCUAAAAAGAAUCCUACUUCAACUUCUCUUCCACAUCCAACACAAAAUGAACAAACUAUAUCUCCACCUCAACAAAGUGAACAAACUAUAUCUCCACCUCAAGAAAGUGAACAACAUUCAUCUCCAUCUAAUUAUUCAACUCAAAAUUCCCCUCAAAAUGAACAAGGCCAAUGUUCUCCUAAUGCCCCAAUCUUUGGUGAAAGAUUAAGUGAACAUGAAUUUGCUAAUCUUCCACAAGAUCCAGGAAAGAGGAGAAAGAUGAGUCAAUUUCAUAAAGAUGAUAGAGAUUUACUAUUUAGUUGUCUUUUGUAGUAUUAUAUGAACAUUUGGUUGUAUUUUGUACUGUUUGAAUAUUUGGAUGUAUUUUUUAGUACUAUUAUUUGGUUGUUCGAUAAAUUUUUUUUUUACAUACUUGAUUAUCGAUUUUGACCCACCAGUCGGAAAUUCCUGGGUCCGCCACUGUAUACAAACUGAAGUACGGUUUUUUUUUGAGGGAAAUUGAAGUAUGAGUUUUGCUAAGUGUAAUACCAUAAUAGGAAUUAAAAAGAAACAAAACACUAAUGACAAUUUUAGAGCUAGCUUUACACGCAACAGAUAAGG